This 254-nucleotide ribosomal RNA is filed under the name uncultured bacterium. RNAcentral's name for it is "partial 16S ribosomal RNA". It matches the Rfam family "Bacterial small subunit ribosomal RNA", at positions 524 to 776 of the family's 1533-position model. The record is from RNAcentral.
UACGGGGGGGAGCAAGCGUUGUUCGGAUUUACUGGGCGUAAAGGCGCGUAGGCGGCCACCGCAAGUCGACUGUGAAAUCUCCGGGCUUAACCCGGAAAGGUCAGCCGAUACUGCGGGGCUAGAGUGCAGAAGGGGCAACUGGAAUUCUCGGUGUAGCGGUGAAAUGCGUAGAUAUCGAGAGGAACACCUGCGGCGAAGGCGGGUUGCUGGGCUGACACUGACGCUGAGGCGCGAAAGCUAGGGGAGCGAACGGG